GACGAACGCUGGCGGCGUGCUUAACACAUGCAAGUCGAACGGAAAGGCCCUGCUUGCAGGGUACUCGAGUGGCGAACGGGUGAGUAACACGUGGGUGAUCUGCCCUGCACUUCGUGAUAAGCCUGGGAAACUGGGUCUAAUACCGGAUAGGAGCCAUUUUUAGUGUGAUGGUUGGAAAGUUUUUUCGGUGUAGGAUGAGCUCGCGGCCUAUCAGCUUGUUGGUGGGGUAAUGGCCUACCAAGGCGGCGACGGGUAGCCGGCCUGAGAGGGUGGACGGCCACAUUGGGACUGAGAUACGGCCCAGACUCCUACGGGAGGCAGCAGUGGGGAAUAUUGCACAAUGGGCGCAAGCCUGAUGCAGCGACGCCGCGUGGGGGAUGACGGCCUUCGGGUUGUAAACUCCUUUCGCUAGGGACGAAGCUUUUUGUGACGGGACCUAGAUAAGAAGCACCGGCUAACUACGU
Molecule: ribosomal RNA, 464 nt
Filed under: uncultured bacterium
Lineage: Bacteria
Description: partial 16S ribosomal RNA
Rfam family: Bacterial small subunit ribosomal RNA
Source: RNAcentral